AGGAGAUUCAAUGCCAUCAUCACCUGUGAGUGCAAUACAGUGUAUUAAUUUUGCAAUAAGCUGUUGCACAAGUCUUGAGCAUCCACAGCAAUCCAGAACACAACAUUAAAACAUUUAGUAUAGUACUUCAACCUUGGAAUAGUGGCCCAAAGCAUUCCAUAAUUAUACAUAAUAAGAUAAUUUUAUAUCCAUUACUAACGAUCAAUAUUAAAAACCAGUAGAAACACGUUUAAGCCUAGAUUUUUU
Molecule: unclassified non-coding RNA, 246 nt
Filed under: Hevea brasiliensis (rubber tree)
Lineage: Eukaryota; Viridiplantae; Streptophyta; Magnoliopsida; Malpighiales; Euphorbiaceae
Source: RNAcentral